RNAcentral lists this long non-coding RNA (4097 nucleotides) under Linum usitatissimum (flax). RNAcentral describes it as "long non-coding RNA (LUSI_LNC005406)". Lineage: Eukaryota; Viridiplantae; Streptophyta; Magnoliopsida; Malpighiales; Linaceae. The record is from RNAcentral.
UUCAAAACGCGUGUCUCUACUCUCUACUACUUAAACUCAAUAAGAACGACCUCCUUUACCAACAAAAGAGCAGAAUGAACUCAAAGGCUUCAACUUCAACGACUCUCUUUAUCAGCCCCAAAAAAACUUCAACCACUCUCCCUUUGGUUGCAAUCAAAGUCGGUGGAUUCCACCGCAAAAAAAUCAAAGUCGGUGGCGAGGCAUGGCUCAUCUGAUGCUCGCAUCUCUCGUGAAUGGGUACUUGAGGUGGUGAAUCAAGGCGCCUCUUCCGGUGGUUGUAGAUUUCCGAUGAACCAUUCAGAGGUCCGUUUUCUAUCGCUGAUCUCCUGCUUUCAUCCCAUUACUACUUCGGCUUCCUUUCUAGAUUUAGCGUUCUUGUGGGUUUUGAGUGAUUCUCUUACGACGAAGCGUUCCAAGUCCGACAAUCAUCAUUAUCAAAACUUCCGUUUCCUGGGUUCCUUUACUGCUUUGAUUUGGCUGCCCGAGGUAAAAAAUUCUAGGGGGUUUUAUUACACUAUUAUGAGUGGCUGGUUUCUAAUAUGAGAUUCGGUGUUUGAGAACUCGGUGAGAGAUGGUUGCUAUCUAUUUAGGGUUUGGUAUGUGUCGUCCGUUUGAUGUAGGCUUGGCGGUGAAUCAAGGCACCUCUUCUGGUGAUUUGAUGAUGUCUUAUAUUGUCAUUACGUUCUUUUUGUUCGGAUCUAUGAAUAAGAGGUCCAUUUUCUGUCUCUGAUCUCCGGCUUUCAUCGCUUUAAUUCGGCUUCCUUCCUAGAUUUAUCAUUCUUGUGGAUUUUGAGAGAUUCUUUUGUGACGAAGCGUUCCGAGUCUGACAAUCAUCAAAAUUGGUUCUUUUCAUGCUUUGAUUUGGUUGCUUGAGGGACGAAAGAUCUAGGGAGUUUUAUUACCACAGUUAUUAGUGGCUGGUUUCUCAUAUGAGAUUUAGUGUUUGAAAACUCUGUAUAUCUGUUAUUCUGUCCAAGAUUUUCUCUAUGCCUUUCCUUCUGUUUGAUGUCUGCAUGGUGUAUUUUAGUUCCCUUUCGUGUGGGUUGCAGUUCUGAAGAUAAAUUUUGGGAUCUUAAAGAGAAGCUGGGAUGGGUUAAUACUUCUGGAAUAUCUUAAUCUUGGUUCAAUACUUUGAAAUACUACUGUCUUUCAGAAAUAAGAUACUUUCUUUAGAAAUAAUCAUGGUAUCUUAUAUACAUAAUGAAGAAGAAGGGAGCAUCAUCGUGAUUUAUAUAUUAUGAUUAGCAGCGGUUUUCAGCCAAACCGAUGUUAAGCGCGCCACUAACUGAAACACAUCGUUUCAUUUCCGAUUAUCAGGGGUUAUUUCCGCUGCCAAUCACAUGGUCAUUUAACCGGGGUUAUUUCCGCUGUUAAAUGGCUAGAGAUUACCAGGGGUUUUUAACGGGGUUUUAUAACCCCUGUUAAAUAUCUACUGCUAAAAACUGUAUUUGUUGUAGUGUAAGCUGGUUCUCACGGGUCCUAGAUAGGAGAUCAUGUCCAUCUUGGUUUGCCAUCUGCCCGUUCUUGACAUUUGUUUGUUGCAAUAUACAAAGGUCCUGAAAUGGAACCUUGCUUUGGGUUGCCUUCUAAUCAUACAGAGGUGGAAAUCAGGCUACCCUUCUUCGUAUUUUAGACUUGAUUACAAUUGUGUUAAGUGAGUUGUUCAUAUCGGGUCAUAGAAUGGAAAUCAUGGUCAUCUGAGUUUACCUUCUACCCACCUGGGACAUUAGUUUUCUGCAAUAGUUGAAGGUCCUAAAACGGAACCUAGGUUGCCUUUUUUCCUUCUACAAAUUAUACAGAGGAAAAGGUAUUCCAGUUACUCUUCUUCCUGUUUUAACACUUACAGUUGUUUCCAGUGAGUUGUCCAUAUUGGGUCCUAGAAAGGGAACCAUUCUCAAUAUUGGUUUGCCUUCUGCCCAUUCUAGAAAUCAGUCUGGUGGGGUUGAUUAAGUUUAUAAUUGAAGGGUAUUUGUGUUUGAUUAUGGAGGCACUUUAUCAUGUGGGUUUCGAGAAUUCUGUUGGAAAAAUCUUCUGAUUUCUAUGAGCAAUAUGAUCUUGUGGGUAUUUUCAGUUUAUGCGAUGCUAUUCAUGUCCCUUAAACAUCAUAAAACACUUUGUUACGUGUAGUUGUGGCUUUGUUUUUCGAUUUUAUAUGAUUGGUGUUCUGAAAUUUGACGUUCUCCAAGUUGUUGGGAGUUUCAAAGCAACUCUUCUGAAGGGUUGGAAAUUCUGUAAUUUUCGGUUCAAUGGUAAAUAUUCAAUUUGAAAGUCUUAGAAGAUUGUCAGCUUGAAGUAUAGAUUGAUGUAAUCCGGAUUAUGAACAUGUCCCCUCUGUCCUAUUUCAAAAUUAUUGAUUGAGGUUUCUUCUUGGGGAAAGGAAACAUGGAGUUGAAAGUACUGACCUUUUUUUAUUGAAGUAUCAACAAUAUGAGGCUAUGGGUUUGACUUGUGUUGAUAUUUUGAUGGAUUCUUAUGUUGUCUUGUCGUUAUAAAACAUAAAUGGCUAACGAGGUUGCAUACUAUCGUACGGUUGGUUGCCGAUUUGCUUUUGAAGAACCUGUCAGUUGCCUUUAUAAUGUAAGAAAAAACAUAGAAAUGGGUCCUAAAAUGGGAAAAUGUUGCCCUUCUGCCUAUUUCAAACUUGACGGUACUAAUCCACAUAGCAAAUUGGAUCAUAGAAUGCGAGCUUGCUAAAGAUUUCUACCCAAUCUAAACAUUGAAUCGGUAACAUUUUCUUGAUUAGUGUACACUGCUGUGUAGCAUUUCAAAUAUUGCCAAGAGUGACACAGAAAAGGGGGUGAUGGGCUGGAGAUGACUAACAUAUACUGUGUUGGAACCCUUGUUUGGCUUCAUUCAUGGGGUAUGUCCCCCACAUUGUUGACAGAGUGGCACCGGUUCGUGUUCGACAAUAAUUAAGUUUGAAAGGUCAGGGGUGUGGUUCUGUUCCCAGUUUGUGUGUAGGCUUGCUGUUUCCAGUUGCUGGAUUUUUUGUUCUGCUUGUGAACUGGCGGGCAUUGCAUUGUUUGGGGCUCUGCAGAUUUUUUGGGGUGCUGCAGUUUAUUUGGGUUGCUGGUUUUCGAGUUUGCCGGGAUGGUUUUUACUUCUUGUACAAGUAUAGCCCUUAUUUGCUGGGCCUGUGUUAUGGUUCCAGUAUUUAUAUAAAACCAUAAAUUGUGCUGGAAGAUGGCAAGACUCGAGAGGGUAUCAGUGUUGAUUAUUGCAUCGUGAAGCUAUGGAAGUGAUUUUACAUCACAGAAAAAACUUCUUAUACGAGUGUCACAGGUCACAUGACAUAAGUUGGAUGAUAUCAAAAUUGUGUACUGAGGGAAAUAAUGUUAUGACUUAAUUAAUGCUUCAAUUGGAAGAUGUGAAACUUACAGGAUUGGAUACCAUGGGGACGACAGCGGCUACUUUAUCUUUGUGGAGGAGUGCACAAGUGAUUUUGGUACAACCAGAAAUUAAGGUUGGAACUGGUACAAAUUACGAUACUAGUACCAUGUUUUCCAUGUAAGUUAUGGUAACCCAUGUAACUCCCAAUCACAAAGAGCAAUCUCAAAGGGUAAUAUUCAACCUCCCUCGUGUCUCAUUUCAUAUCAUGAUGGACGGUGGUGGUAAUGUCUCAGAAAGAAUGGAGCUAUUCCAAAGGACAUGGAGGGUCUAUUAUGAAUUGGGCAGGGUUGUCUCACUCAUUAUCUCGAUCUAAUCCUACACAUAGAGGGUUUAUUAUGAACUGGACAGAUUAAUAUCAAUUGUUUAGCCUAUGGAUUCGCGUGUUUGUGAUUUGUUAGUCUCGACAUCGAUUUUAAACAAGCAUUGCACUUGAAGGGAAAAUGUGAACGAACGCUCAUUUUACUUGACCCGUGAGGUCUAAGAAGUAAGAUGAUAUAUUGCACCUCGCCCUCAAAUAAGUUUUGAUGAGAAAGCUUGGAAAGGGUCAGUUCCUCGUGAAUAACCACGAGACCAAAUUUUCAUUUAUGCUGCCCAUCAGUAUGGGAUCAAUAACGAGACCAACCAUGUGAAUAAAUAAGGUUUCAGUGGGUACCAAUAAUGAUGCAACAAUGCCAAGUAAAUUGGAAGAAGGGCUAAUUUUAAUAUCA